This 117-nucleotide non-coding RNA is filed under the name Nomascus leucogenys (northern white-cheeked gibbon). The record is from Rfam by way of RNAcentral. Lineage: Eukaryota; Metazoa; Chordata; Mammalia; Primates; Hylobatidae.
GCUGGGUGUGGUGGCCCACACUUGUAAUCCUAGCACUUUGGGAGGCCGAGGCGGGCGGAUCACCUGAGGUCAGGAGUUCAAGACUAGCCUGGCCAACAUGGUGAAACCCCGUCUCUA